This 253-nucleotide ribosomal RNA is filed under the name uncultured bacterium. Its description in RNAcentral is "partial 16S ribosomal RNA". It matches the Rfam family "Bacterial small subunit ribosomal RNA", at positions 524 to 776 of the family's 1533-position model. The record is from RNAcentral.
CACGUAGGGCGCAAGCGUUGUCCGGAAUCACUGGGCGUAAAGGGCGCGUAGGCGGCUGAUUUAGUCGAGGGUGAAAGCCCGUGGCUCAACCACGGAAUGGCCUUCGAUACUGGUUGGCUUGAGACCGGAAGAGGACAGCGGAACUGCGAGUGUAGAGGUGAAAUUCGUAGAUAUUCGCAAGAACACCAGUGGCGAAGGCGGCUGUCUGGUCCGGUUCUGACGCUGAGGCGCGAAAGCGUGGGGAGCAAACAGG